Molecule: ribosomal RNA, 533 nt
Filed under: uncultured bacterium
Lineage: Bacteria
Description: bacterial SSU rRNA
Rfam family: Bacterial small subunit ribosomal RNA
Source: RNAcentral
AAUAGAUACCCAGGUAGUCCACGCCGUAAACGAUGGAUACUAGCUGUAGGGGGUAUCGACCCCUUCUGUAGCGAAGCUAACGCGUUAAGUAUCCCGCCUGUGGAGUACGGCCGCAAGGCUAAAACAUAAAGGAAUUGACGGGGACCCGCACAAGCGGUGGAUCAUGUUCUUUAAUUCGGUGCUAAACGAAGAACCUUACCAGGGUUUGACAUCCUUGGAAGCUCUGCGAAAGCAGAGUGUGCUUUAUUGAACCAAGUGACAGAUGAUGCAUGGCCGUCGUCAGCUCGUGUCGUGAGAUGUUUGGUUAAGUCCAUCAACGAGCGCAACCCUUGUGAUUAGUUGUAUUUUUCUAAUCAGACUGCCCCGGUAACGGGGAGGAAGGAGGGGAUGAUGUCAGGUCAGUAUUUCUCUUACAUCCUGGGCUAGAAACGUGAUACAAUGGCAAGUACAAUGCGAAGCGAAGCCGCGAGGUGAAGCAAAACCGCACCAAAAGCUUGUCCCAGUUCGGAUAAGAGGCUGAAACUGCCUCUUUG